GUAGGUGAACCUGCGGAAGGAUCAUUACUAAUUUUUUGAACGACCCUGAUGAACCGUGGUAUGGUUGUGUGUAGUGAAUGGAUGGUGGCAAUUGUGUUUGGUUAGCCAGCAUCAUUGCCAUCACCACUAUCUAUUACAGCCAACACAUGCAUACAAACAAUUGAUUAAACGUGGACAAUAGUUAUCAUGACAAUUAAAUAAUUAUGACAACUUUUAACAAUGGAUCUCUUGGCUCUUGCAUCGAUGAAGA
RNAcentral lists this unclassified non-coding RNA (250 nucleotides) under plant metagenome. RNAcentral's name for it is "partial contains small subunit ribosomal RNA, internal transcribed spacer 1, and 5.8S ribosomal RNA". The stretch from base 209 to 250 matches the Rfam family "5.8S ribosomal RNA", at positions 1 to 42 of the family's 154-position model. The record is from RNAcentral.